RNAcentral lists this ribosomal RNA (490 nucleotides) under uncultured bacterium. RNAcentral's name for it is "partial 16S ribosomal RNA". It matches the Rfam family "Bacterial small subunit ribosomal RNA", at positions 30 to 507 of the family's 1533-position model. The record is from RNAcentral.
AUUGAACGCUGGCGGCAGGCCUAACACAUGCAAGUCGAACGGUAACAGGAAGCAGCUUGCUGCUUCGCUGACGAGUGGCGGACGGGUGAGUAAUGUCUGGGAAACUGCCUGCUGGAGGGGGAUAACUACUGGAAACGGUAGCUAAUACCGCAUAACGUCGCAAGCCCAAAGAGGGGGACCUUAGGGCCUCUUGCCAUCGGAUGUGCCCAGAUGGGAUUAGCUAGUAGGUGGGGUAACGGCUCACCUAGGCGACGAUCCCUAGCUGGUCUGAGAGGAUGACCAGCCACACUAGAACGUAGACACGGUCCAGACGCCUACGGGAGGCAGCAGUGGGGAAUAUGGCACAAUGGGCGCAAGCCUGAUGCAGCCAUGCCGCGUGUAUGAAGAAGGCCUUCGGGUUGGAAAGUACUUUCAGCGGGGAGGAAGGGAGUAAAGUUAAUACCUUUGCUCAUUGACGUUACCCGCAGAAGAAGCACCGGCUAACUCCGUG